GCGAACGCUGGCGGCAGGCUUAACCCAUGCAAGUCGAGCGCCCCGCAAGGGGAGCGGCAGACGGGAGAGUAACACGUGGGAACAUACCUUUUGGUUCGGAACAACUGAGGGAAACUUCAGCUAAUACCGGAUAAGCCCUUACGGGGAAAGAUUUAUCGCCGAAAGAUUGGCCCGCGUCUGAUUAGCUAGUUGGUGAGGUAACGGCUCACCAAGGCGACGAUCAGUAGCUGGUCUGAGAGGAUGAUCAGCCUCACUGGGACUGAGACACGGCCCAGACUCCUACGGGAGGCAGCAGUGGGGAAUAUUGGACAAUGGGGGCAACCCUGAUCCAGCCAUGCCGCGUGAGUGAUGAAGGCCUUAGGGUUGUAAAGCUCUUUUGCCCGGGAAGAUAAUGACGGUACCGGGAGAAUAAGCCCCGGCUAACUUCGUG
Molecule: ribosomal RNA, 430 nt
Filed under: uncultured bacterium
Lineage: Bacteria
Description: partial 16S ribosomal RNA
Rfam family: Bacterial small subunit ribosomal RNA
Source: RNAcentral